GACGAACGCUGGCGGCGUGCUUAACACAUGCAAGUCGAGCGAGGCCCUUCUUCGGGAGGUAGCCCUAGCGGGCGAACGGGUGAGUAACACGUGGGCAACCUGCCCUCAGCUCUGGGAGUAAACUCCAAGAAAUUGGUGCUAAUACCGGAUGUGACCGCUGACCGCAUGGUCUGGUGGUGGAAAGAUUUCAAUCGGGCUGAGGAUGGGCCCGCGGCCUAUCAGCUUGUGGUGGGGAAUGGCCUACCAAGGCGACGACGGGUAGCCGGCCUGAGAGGGUGACCGG
This 283-nucleotide ribosomal RNA is filed under the name uncultured bacterium. Its description in RNAcentral is "partial 16S ribosomal RNA". It matches the Rfam family "Bacterial small subunit ribosomal RNA", at positions 28 to 307 of the family's 1533-position model. The record is from RNAcentral.